GAUGAACGCUGGCGGCGUGCCUAAUACAUGCAAGUCGAGCGAACAGACGAGGAGCUUGCUCCUCUGACGUUAGCGGCGGACGGGUGAGUAACACGUGGAUAACCUACCUAUAAGACUGGGAUAACUUCGGGAAACCGGCGCUAAUACCGGAUAAUAUAUUGAACCGCAUGGUUCAAUAGUGAAAGACGGUUUUGCUGUCACUUAUAGAUGGAUCCGCGCCGCAUUAGCUAGUUGGUAAGGUAACGGCUUACCAAGGCAACGAUGCGUAGCCGACCUGAGAGGGUGAUCGGCCACACUGGAACUGAGACACGGUCCAGACUCCUAAGGGAGGCAGCAGUAGGGAAUCUUCCGCAAUGGGCGAAAGCCUGACGGAGCAACGCCGCGUGAGUGAUGAAGGUCUUCGGAGCGUAAAACUCUGUUAUUAGGGAAGAACAAAUGUGUAAGUAACUAUGCACGUCUUGACGGUACCUAAUCAGAAAGCCACGGCUAACUACGUG
RNAcentral lists this ribosomal RNA (497 nucleotides) under uncultured bacterium. RNAcentral describes it as "partial 16S ribosomal RNA". It matches the Rfam family "Bacterial small subunit ribosomal RNA", at positions 28 to 507 of the family's 1533-position model. The record is from RNAcentral.